UACGUAGGGGGCAAGCGUUGUCCGGAAUCAUUAGGCGUAAAGAGCGUGUAGGCGGCCCGGUAAGUCCGCUGUGAAAGUCGAGGGCUCAACCCUCGAAUGCCGGCGGAUACUGUCGGGCUAGAGUCCGGAAGAGGCGAGUGGAAUUCCUGGUGUAGCGGUGAAAUGCGCAGAUAUCAGGAGGAACACCUACGGCGAAGGCAGCUCGCUGGGACGGUACUGACGCUGAGACGCGAAAGCGUGGGGAGCAAACAGG
Molecule: ribosomal RNA, 253 nt
Filed under: uncultured bacterium
Lineage: Bacteria
Description: partial 16S ribosomal RNA
Rfam family: Bacterial small subunit ribosomal RNA
Source: RNAcentral